AUUGAACGCUGGCGGCAUGCCUUACACAUGCAAGUCGAACGGCAGCACGGGAGCAAUCCUGGUGGCGAGUGGCGAACGGGUGAGUAAUAUAUCGGAACGUGCCCAGUAGUGGGGGAUAGCCCGGCGAAAGCCGGAUUAAUACCGCAUACGACCUACGGGUGAAAGCGGGGGAUCGCAAGACCUCGCGCUAUUGGAGCGGCCGAUGUCAGAUUAGCUAGUUGGUGGGGUAAAAGCCUACCAAGGCGACGAUCUGUAGCUGGUCUGAGAGGACGACCAGCCACACUGGGACUGAGACACGGCCCAGACUCCUACGGGAGGCAGCAGUGGGAAUUUUGGACAAUAGGGGGGCAACCCUGAUCCAGCCAUGCCGCGUGCGGGAGAAGGCCUCGGUUGUAA
Molecule: ribosomal RNA, 396 nt
Filed under: uncultured bacterium
Lineage: Bacteria
Description: bacterial SSU rRNA
Rfam family: Bacterial small subunit ribosomal RNA
Source: RNAcentral